GACGAACGCUGGCGGCGUGCUUAACACAUGCAAGUCGUACGGUAAGGCCCUUUCGGGGGUACACGAGUGGCGAACGGGUGAUUAACACGUGAGUAACCUGCCCACAACUUUGGGAUAACGCUAGGAAACUGGUGCUAAUACUGGAUAUGUGCUCCUGCUGCAUGGUGGUGGUUGGAAAGCUCCUGUGGUUGUGGAUGGACUCGCGGCCCAUCAGCUUGUUGGUGGGGUAGUGGCCUACCAAGGCGGCGACGGGUAGCCGGCCAGAGAGGGUGACCGGCCACAUUGGGACUGAGAAACGGCCCAGACUCCUACGGGAGGAAGCAGUGCGAAAUAUUGCACAAUGGGCGCAAGCCUGAUGCAGCAACGCCGCGUGCGGGAUGACGGCCUUGGGGUUGUAAACCGCUUUCAGCAGAGACGAAGCUUUUUGUGACGGUACCUGCAAAAAAAGCACCGGCUAACUACGUG
RNAcentral lists this ribosomal RNA (465 nucleotides) under uncultured bacterium. Its description in RNAcentral is "partial 16S ribosomal RNA". It matches the Rfam family "Bacterial small subunit ribosomal RNA", at positions 28 to 507 of the family's 1533-position model. The record is from RNAcentral.